RNAcentral lists this long non-coding RNA (332 nucleotides) under Mytilus galloprovincialis (Mediterranean mussel). The record is from RNAcentral. Lineage: Eukaryota; Metazoa; Mollusca; Bivalvia; Mytilida; Mytilidae.
UACGUUAUACACCCUUGUUAUUAAAAUAUUGGUCACGUUACUUGUUGAAAAUAAAAAUAUAUACAAAUGUACUCGACUUCGAAGGGGUGCCUAGAAAAGCAUAAAUUAUAUAUACAGGUAAUGUAUUUUCGUAAACUUUGUAGAGGAUAAUAAAAUUGAGAAUGGAAAACUAAUAUUAGUGCGUAUUACAGAAUAACAAAGCAAUUAGGUAGAUUCAUGGUAUACCACUAUCUUGCAUUGUACUUUUGCAGUGACCAAUCAGUCUAGUUGUUACCCAAAUCUCCGAAUUUGUACACAGAUGUUCAAUUUUAUUGAUAAGAAUGUUUAUCUCU